This 497-nucleotide ribosomal RNA is filed under the name uncultured bacterium. RNAcentral's name for it is "partial 16S ribosomal RNA". It matches the Rfam family "Bacterial small subunit ribosomal RNA", at positions 28 to 507 of the family's 1533-position model. The record is from RNAcentral.
GAUGAACGCUGGCGGCGUGCCUAAUGCAUGCAAGUCGAGCGAACGGACGAGAAGCUUGCUUCUCUGAUGUUAGCGGCGGACGGGCGAGUAACACGUGGAUAACCUACCUAUAAGACUGGGAUAACUUCGGGAAACCGGAGCUAAUACCGGAUAAUAUUUUGAACCGCAUGGUUCAAAAGUGAAAGACGGUCUUGCUGUCACUUAUAGAUGGAUCCGCGCUGCAUUAGCUAGUUGGUAAGGUAACGGCUUACCAAGGCAACGAUGCAUAGCCGACCUGAGAGGGUGAUCGGCCACACUGGAACUGAGACACGGUCCAGACUCCUACGGGAGGCAGCAGUAGGGAAUCUUCCGCAAUGGGCGAAAGCCUGACGGAGCAACGCCGCGUGAGUGAUGAAGGUCUUCGGAUCGUAAAACUCUGUUAUUAGGGAAGAACAUAUGUGUAAGUAACUGUGCACAUCUUGACGGUACCUAAUCAGAAAGCCACGGCUAACUACGUG